RNAcentral lists this ribosomal RNA (403 nucleotides) under uncultured bacterium. Its description in RNAcentral is "bacterial SSU rRNA". It matches the Rfam family "Bacterial small subunit ribosomal RNA", at positions 356 to 776 of the family's 1533-position model. The record is from RNAcentral.
GGGGAAUCUUAGACAAUGGGCGCAAGCCUGAUCUAGCCAUGCCGCGUGUGUGAUGAAGGUCUUAGGAUCGUAAAGCACUUUCGCCAGGGAUGAUAAUGACAGUACCUGGUAAAGAAACCCCGGCUAACUCCGUGCCAGCAGCCGCGGUAAUACGGAGGGGGUUAGCGUUGUUCGGAAUUACUGGGCGUAAAGCGUACGUAGGCGGAUUGGAAAGUUGGGGGUGAAAUCCCAGGGCUCAACCCUGGAACUGCCUCCAAAACUAUCAGUCUAGAGUUCGAGAGAGGUGAGUGGAAUUCCAAGUGUAGAGGUGAAAUUCGUAGAUAUUUGGAGGAACACCAGUGGCGAAGGCGGCUCACUGGCUCGAUACUGACGCUGAGGUACGAAAGUGUGGGGAGCAAACAGG